This 777-nucleotide ribosomal RNA is filed under the name uncultured bacterium. RNAcentral describes it as "bacterial SSU rRNA". It matches the Rfam family "Bacterial small subunit ribosomal RNA", at positions 11 to 777 of the family's 1533-position model. The record is from RNAcentral.
GUUUGAUCAUGGCUCAGAGCGAACGUUAGCGGCGCGCCUAACACAUGCAAGUCGCACGGAGUAGCAAUACUCAGUGGCGCACGGGUGCGUAACACGUAGAUAACCUGCCCUGAAGAGGGGGAUAACGUUCCGAAAGGAGCGCUAAUACCGCAUAACGCUGAGACGGGUUCGCCUGUUUCGGACAAAGGCUGGGACCAGCAAUGGCCAGUCGCUUUAGGAGGGGUCUGCGGCCCAUCAGCUAGUUGGUAAGGUAAUGGCUUACCAAGGCAGAGACGGGUAGCUGGUCUGAGAGGAUGAUCAGCCACACUGGUACUGGAACACGGACCAGACUCCUACGGGAGGCAGCAGUGGGGAAUCUUGGUCAAUGGGCGCAAGCCUGAACCAGCGACGCCGCGUGAGUGAUGAAGGCCUUCGGGUUGUAAAGCUCUGUGGGGAGGGGCGAAAGACUGAGGUCUAAUAGGCUUCAGGUUGACGGUACCUCCUUAGCAAGCACCGGCUAACUCUGUGCCAGCAGCCGCGGUAAGACAGAGGGUGCAAACGUUGCUCGGAAUCACUGGGCGUAAAGGGCGUGUAGGCGGGAAGGAAAGUCAGAUGUGAAAUCCCCAGGCUCAACCUGGGAACUGCAUUUGAAACUCCCUUUCUUGAGUGCCGGAGAGGAAGGCGGAAUUCCUGGUGUAGAGGUGAAAUUCGUAGAUAUCANGAGGAACACCAGCGGCGAANGCGGCUUUCUGGACGGUAACUGACGCUGAGACGCGAAAGCGUGGGGAGCAAACAGGA